Long non-coding RNA from Peromyscus maniculatus bairdii (prairie deer mouse), 2262 nucleotides. RefSeq lists it as uncharacterized. Lineage: Eukaryota; Metazoa; Chordata; Mammalia; Rodentia; Cricetidae. The record is from RefSeq and is a predicted model, not a curated record.
UUGGGGGAGGUGACUCCUCCUUCUCCAGCAGUCUCAACAGCCUCUGUAUUUGUUGACUUUAUACUAUGUACGAUGGAGAAGAAUUUUAGCCUGCAGUCUCAGGGCACAAAUACCUUCUGACUCUUUGUCCUUUCGAGCGGUGGGUUUUGACUGUUUUAAAUAAAAACAAACUGGAUUGUGAUUGCACACCAUGGUGGAUGUCUCGGGUAGCCGAGUACUCCUAGAAAGAUGAUAGGCAAUAAUGUGGUGUAGAAACCAGGCUGGAGUCUGGGAAGCAUUUCCUGGUUAGCUUUGGGGAUAGGGGCGGGAGAUGAUUUUGAUGGGUCAUGAGUUCCACCCAGUGCCUCUGAUCCACUGCAUCACACAUUCAUUUGAGUAUGUCUCUGCUUGGGGAUGUAGUUCGGUGGUAGAUCACCUGGCUAGCAUCUCACAAGGCCUGACAUCUCUUCACAAAGUAACGCUGAGCUUUGCAAGUCCCUUGGGCGGAUUUCUUUUCUUCCCGUUCUUCAAGAUGUAACACUCAGCUCUUCUGAACACUUUCUUCUAGUCACAUGACUCUCACACCUUGAUGUGCACACUCAUUACCAGAAGAACUUGUUGGAAGGCUCUGGGAGCGCCUCUUGGGGAAGUGGGGCAGGGCUCAUUAACUCACACUUCUAAAGAGCUCCAGGUUCCAGGGAGGACCAGCCUUCUGGAACCUUGCCCCUGCCCUUUCCAAGGGUGGAAUAAUCUUAAACUCUCUGUGCUGUCCACUCUACAAAAGUCCCUCUGGCAAACUGAUGGUUCACCCCAGCCCUGGUUGGACUGAAUGUGGUAUGAUGUGGGCUCAGGAUGAAGACAUUUGGGUUUCAAAGUUAAUAUUAACAGUUUGGGAUUACAAAAUUGGGUCCUACUAAUAAAAUGCCCCUGAUCACAUUAAUAUGUAGACUUUAUAUUUAUUAGAAAUUGUUUAGGUUUUUUGUUUUUGUUUUUGUUUUUUGUUUUUUGAGCAAGGAAAAGGUGAUCAUAAAUGAAUCCAUUUUCCUGGGCAGGAGUCUUUCAUAAUGGCUGGGGGAGGGAUGGCUUUUAGAUUUGUAUGUCCUAAGAAACAGUGAUAAAUGAAUACUUACUGCAACAGAAAAACACAAUCAUCACCUUCACACAUCCAUUAAAAAAAAAGACUUCAAAUGCAUAUCACAUAAUUGUUAAUAAUCAUUGUUUAUGAUGUUGGUCCUACUCUGAAUAAAAUGUCUCUGAGCUUAGUUUCAUUUUAGACACACAAUGUUUGUUUUUCUAUUUUGGAUACCUAAUGCACUUGUAGGAGUUUUUUUUUUUUAAUAUUUUUGCUAAUAGAAUAUAAACAAACCUAAUUAAAUCUGGAUUGGUAGCACUAAAAAUCUCUUUGGCUGUGUUCAGGCUGUGUAAACGUGUAUUAGGGGAGGAAUAGAGAGCAAAGGACAUCUGGGAGUACAAAGAUCCUGUCUUCCUAGGCUGUCACAGUGAACUGGUCAAAGGCUCUGAGCACCUGACUUUUGUGGGGGUGUUAGAAGAGAAUGGUGACCUUCCACUGGGUUAUACACAAACCAGAAAAUCUAGGUUGGCUUCUGAGAAUUGUGAAGACUCAUUUCAAGUCUGGAAUCCCGGUCCACAGUGGGUCCCCAUGGACUACACUUUAAUGUAGAGCAAGGGCAUUACGGAGUCUGAACUUUAUUUAUAGCUGAGGAUGUUCGUGAACCAGGAUCUUCCUAACUCUACCUCCCAAGUGCUGGGAUCACAGGCACGUGUCAACAUAACCUGGUUUAUUAUGUUGUUGUUCAUUGCAAGGUCUACAGGCAUGCCUGAAGCCUCCAAUGUUCCCUCGCUGCAGUUGACCGGAUGUGGUUCCCACUUCCGAGUUGUCCUCCAUACUUCAGGCCAAACCCCAGGGAGGGAUGGCCAGGAGACACUAAAGUUUGUUUAUGUGUCUAGACUGGAUGCCUCGUGGUCAUCAUGGUGCCACUGAUGUCACGGUCAUCAUUAUCACUGUCGUCAUCACGGCCCUCUUCCUCGUGAUGCUGUUGAGGAUUUUGGGGGGCCCGAGAGAUGGCUUAAAGGGUAAAGGCACAUGCUGCCAAGCCUGACAACCUGCAUUGGAUUCCUGGACCCAUGUGGCACAAGGACAGAGCCAUGUCUAACAAGUUGUCUUCUGGUCUCCUCAAGCAUGGUGGCAUCCCCACUACACCCAUAAGUCAAUAAUGUAAUAAAAUUUUAAAUAUUUUUUUUUGUGGACUUAAUGUUGUUGGU